GUCAGUAUAGCUCAGUUGGUUAGAGCAUAGCACUCAUAAAGCUAAGGUCGGUGGUUCGAUCCCACCUACUGACA
This 74-nucleotide transfer RNA is filed under the name Candidatus Nomurabacteria bacterium. Its description in RNAcentral is "tRNA-Met". It matches the Rfam family "tRNA". From Rfam's summary of the family: Transfer RNA (tRNA) molecules are approximately 80 nucleotides in length. Their secondary structure includes four short double-helical elements and three loops (D, anti-codon, and T loops). RNAcentral also lists the same sequence under 2 other names. The record is from RNAcentral. Lineage: Bacteria; Candidatus Nomuraibacteriota.